UCGUUCUUUUUUCCCCCAAAACCCUAGAGGCGAAUUCAUCUCCCUCCUCCAGAUCUCAAUCUCCCUCUUCCGGAUCUCAGUGAACAAUCGACGGUAAUGUUUCAGUGAAAUCGAUCUUCAAUAUGAUCCAAUCCAUCUUCUUUGAAUCAAGUUUCUCUCACUUACCUUUCAUUGCAAACCCUAGCCAAACCUCUGCAUCAUCAUCCUUCAAUUGUUCCUCGCCGAUUCAUCAUUCCCAAUGACCAGACCUAAUCAUCUCGAUUCUUUCAUCGAUCGUCAUUUUUUUCUGAUAAAGUUGAUCGUGUUUGUUUGGGGGGGGGGGGGGGGGUAUUCCACGGUCCUCCCAACCGCCGAGGUGAUCCCACCUCGCAGGCGACCACCCAGCAAGCCUGAGUCUGGGGGUAAAUCCACUACCGUAGGGGCAUUCGGAACGAGCAAGACUCGAACCCGCCACCUCCGAGUUAGAAUGCGAGCUGGUGGCCAUUGGGCUUACACCCAAUGGUUAAGUUGAUCGUGUUUGUUGAAUGUUUCAACGGUUGGAUUUUGUUUCAAUCGAUCUUAACAAACUGGAUUGUGGAGACGAUGAGAAGAGUAGAGAAGUUAGUAUUGUAGAAGGAAUGGAUGCUUGCUUAUUACAGUGAUUCGAGGAUUAGUGUUUCACUGUCUUCAUCACCUGCUACUAUUAGUUUCAGAUUCUUAGACCACCUCUGAAAUUAGUCGCUUGAUUCCUCAAUUAUGCUCCCUAAUUCUAAUUCUUAGAGUAUAUUUCCGAAAAUGGUAUCUUAGGGGUUUAAGGGAAAGUCCUGCAACAUCUGGCGCAUUUGUAAAUAAGUUUAUCAAUUUGGAUUAUCGAUCAUAUAUAUGGUUCUUGAAAUGGAUGUCGGAUGCUCUAAAAAUGCCCGAGCCUGAACUCAUUGAUCAUGCUGGAUUGGAUUCUGCCAUCUAUUUGCGGAUUUACUUGCCAUGGUUAAGACAAGUUAUUAGCUUUUUGGUUAUACACUUACACCCAUCUUGGUUGAUUUUAAUCUACAAUUUUAACCCGGUUUCCUAUCAGAAACCCUAAAUCGUGUUCGGGUGAACUCUCAUAGAUCGGGGAUUUGAAGGCGUCAAACUAAAAGAGAGAAAUUAGCAACUGCAAUCAACAUGUGUUUGGAUAUUUCUGCCAAAGAAUUCAGAGUUCGAUGUAGGGUUGUAGGGGCGGAGAUCGGUGGUUGGUGAAGCAUUGUGGGAGGGUGGGCCUCGGAGCUGCGUGAAGGAAUCAGAAGGGUUUCAAAGACAAAUACCCACAUGGAACAUUGCAGUUGAUCAAAAUCAUAUUAGGAAACCACGAAGAUGAACUUGAUAAUAACAAAGAGACUUGCCUGUCAUGUAGAUAGCCAUCAAAAUGAAUAAAUUUGCUCGUGAAGAGAGGUUUUUGCUCUGGGCAGUUUGUAGCAUUCAGUUACAGAUCUUGAAAUGGGAACACAACAUAACGCGAAUUCUGGAGAAUUAGGGUUGAAUGAAUUCUUCAAGAAGGUUCAAUCCAUUGAGAAACAAUAUGAGAAGUUGAAUAAACUACUAAAAAAAUACAGGAUGCCCAUGAGGAGUCAAAGGGUGUAACCAAGGCUGCUGCUAUGAAAUCAACACAUGGAGAAAGAUGUUGACGAGGUUGGAAAAGUUGCACGGUUUAUUAAAUAAAAAAUUGAGGAACUUGACAAGGAGAAUUUGGCAAAUAGACAGAAACCCGGGUGUGGAAAAGGAACAGGAGUAGACCGAUCAAGAACCGCAACCACACUGUCAUUGAUAUCGAAGACAAGGAGAUCAAAGAACUAACUGGAUUUAGGGUUUUUGUUAUUGCUGAGGCGUGAGUGGAGUAGGUGGUUUGAGUGGGAAAAUCUGGUUGAAGAUAGGUUGUCAGUGGUAUGGGCGGAGAUGAUUGUGAGCCAUUUGUAGUAAAGGAGGAGGAUUUCCAGUUUCAUUCCAGGAGGUCUUCAAGCAUCAGUGGGGAAGAUAGUCGAGAAGGUUAAAAGAAUGAGCUUUCUCGGGAUAAAAGCCCGAGCAAAGGAUCAAUUGCUCAACUGGGAAGAUUGGUGCAGGUUUGACAUCUUUAGGGACAAUGGGUAGCUUGUGUUGGCAUGGGGUUUUGUUUAUUGUAAGCUUCUGUUUUUGUUUUCAGUUUGGUGUAAGUUUCCGUUUGGUGGAUGUAUGUUUGGCGCUAGCGCCUUGCUAGAAUUUGAAUAAAGUUUAUGUUGGUUGUUCAGAAAAACAUUGGGUUGAUGGAUAAAAGGGUCUGGUUUUGUAUUUUAAUUUUGUUUGAUUUGACAAUAAGGUGUUCAGU
This 2317-nucleotide long non-coding RNA is filed under the name Helianthus annuus (common sunflower). Its description in RNAcentral is "hypothetical non coding rna". Lineage: Eukaryota; Viridiplantae; Streptophyta; Magnoliopsida; Asterales; Asteraceae. The record is from RNAcentral.